CCUACGGGGUGCUGCAGUGGGGAAUAUUGGACAAUGGGCGAAAGCCUGAUCCAGCCAUGCCGCGUGUGUGAAGAAGGCCUUCGGGUUGUAAAGCACUUUCAGUGGGGAAGAAAGCCUUGGGGCUAAUACCCUCGAGGAAGGACAUCACCCACAGAAGAAGCACCGGCUAACUCCGUGCCAGCAGCCGCGGUAAUACGGAGGGUGCGAGCGUUAAUCGGAAUUACUGGGCGUAAAGCGCGCGUAGGCGGUCUGAUAAGCCGGUUGUGAAAGCCCCGGGCUCAACCUGGGAACGGCAUCCGGAACUGUCAGGCUAGGGGGCAGGAGGGGAAGGUAGAAUUCCCGGUGUAGCGGUGAAAUGCGUAGAGAUCGGGAGGAAUACCAGUGGCGAAGGCGGCCUUCUGAACUGACACUGACGCUGAGGUGCGAAAGCGUGGGUAGCAAACAGGAUUAGAUACCCGAGUAGUC
RNAcentral lists this ribosomal RNA (465 nucleotides) under Vreelandella stevensii. RNAcentral describes it as "partial 16S ribosomal RNA". It matches the Rfam family "Bacterial small subunit ribosomal RNA", at positions 338 to 795 of the family's 1533-position model. The record is from RNAcentral. Lineage: Bacteria; Pseudomonadati; Pseudomonadota; Gammaproteobacteria; Oceanospirillales; Halomonadaceae.